RNAcentral lists this ribosomal RNA (321 nucleotides) under uncultured eukaryote. Its description in RNAcentral is "partial 18S ribosomal RNA". It matches the Rfam family "Eukaryotic small subunit ribosomal RNA", at positions 1470 to 1796 of the family's 1831-position model. The record is from RNAcentral.
CCCUUAGAUGUUCUGGGCCGCACGCGCGCUACACUGAUGAACGCAACGAGACCACCUGUACCGAAAGGCAUGGGUAAACUUGUGAAAGUUCAUCGUGAUGGGGAUAGAUUAUUGCAAUUAUUAAUCUUCAACGAGGAAUUCCUAGUAAGCGCGAGUCAUCAGCUCGCGUUGAUUACGUCCCUGCCCUUUGUACACACCGCCCGUCGCUCCUACCGAUUGAAUGGUCCGGUGAAAUCUUCGGAUUGCUGGAUAGGACUUCAUUGACCUAUCUGCGAGAAGUUGCUUGAACCUUNUNAUUUAANGGAAGGAGAANUCGUANCA